Molecule: long non-coding RNA, 10707 nt
Filed under: Homo sapiens (human)
Lineage: Eukaryota; Metazoa; Chordata; Mammalia; Primates; Hominidae
Description: HSALNT0372191
Source: RNAcentral
CUUCUGUGCCUGUGGGACUACAUUCUCUGUGCCGGGCUUAGAGAACACGAAGAGGGAGCCAUCUGCCACACUCUGGAGGCUGAAGCCUGCACCAGUGCUGCUCGCCUCACUGUGGUAGGUGGUGGUGAUGGAAACUGCAGAUCGGCCAGAGUGGUAGAAAAGUUGCUGCAGGGUUUUUCUGGCUUUGCCUGCCCAGCUGCUCCAUGCCUGGCUAGAGGAGAAGGAGGAGCCACAUGUGGUACACUGGAGGCUGGAGCCUGCAGAUGGCAUGGCUCUGCGGCUCACCUUGCUGCAGUUGGUGGUGGUGACAGAGACUGCAGCUUGACUGUAGUGGUAAGAGGAUGCCUGUGGCAGCCAGAUGAUAGGGGCCUUAUAGGGUGGGCCAGUGCAUUGAGGGUGACAGCAGAGGUGGUUGUAUUGGCAUCAGUGCUAGUGGUGGCAGCAGCAGCAAGUCUGGGAAAAGAAAAGAUGAAAAAGAAAAAUUCACAACUGCCAGAUCUUCUCCUGUCUGGAAGUGUUGUGUGUGCUGCCAGUACAGGACACCCGUGGGCCACUGGAGGGGGAAUUCAAGACCUUUUCUAUGGUGUUUAAAGACAAGGGCGAGUUGUAGGUGGGAACCAAAGUCAAACAAACAGGUGGGGAGGAGAGCUGGGUACUCCCUUUCCCUGACUCAGCCUUUUAUUGAUGAAGGCAGGGAUGGGAUGGGGAGAGCUCACCUGGCAAAGACUCCACACAGGUGUGCAGCACACCCUGAUGGGGCCAGAAAAUGUCACUGUGAGCCCUAGGGGUGAAAGACACAGUGAUGGGCUGCUGGGCAACUACCAAGUGUAGAGAUCCUGAGUGCCCAGAGAGUUACCAACCACUUCCCUUCCCUGUGCAGAUCAGUGGAGGCAGAUACAUACACAAAAUGGGAAGGGGAAAGAAAACGGCUUUCAGAUCUCCCCACCAUAGAGACUAUAAGAUUAUUCCAGAAUGGCCACAAUUUUUUCACUGCCCACUCUGGGCCAAACAGUGUCCAUACACUACGUCAUUCUUAUGAGGGUUACUUAGUUCCAUUUUAUGAUGAGGACAUUUAGGCUCAACUUGUCCCAGGUCACAUAACUGUUAAGUAAUUGUAUUUUCCAAGAAUGAUCCUCUUUCAACCUCACGAUGAUGCUUCCAUGGUUGGAAAAUAAAAUUAUUCACAAAAGUGAAAGUACUAGGGGCAGCUGCAGGGCUACAGGCCUUUGAAGACAUUGCUCAGUCUCUUCAGAUAGUUUCUUUCACAUGUUCUAUACCUUGGUUCCCCAAAACAACUCCUCCAUUAAGACUGCUCAAAAUUGAAAUAACACUGUGGCACAGAUGUUUUGCCCAUCAAAUUCACAAAGAUCAAAAAGGAAGGACUGAAUAGGCAGAGUGGGUAUGUGUUAAGAAAACAUGUUCUCAUACACUGUACUACUUGUGGCAAUAUAAACUGAUAAAACUUUGUAGAGGGAAAUAUGGCCAAGUGAGUCAAAAGUUUUAAACCUGUUAAUAUCAUUUGGCUCAGAAAUUCUACUUGUAGGGAUUUAUCUUAAGGAAAUUUUCACAAAUGUACACAAAGAUUAAUUACAAAGAUGUUUAGCUUCAAUGUUGUUUGGAAACUAACAUAACGUGCAAUAGAGGCCUGGUGAACUGAGUACUGGGACCUUCACACUGCACAGGGGAGCAAGAACCUCUUCUCUUGCCUCUGCUUUGUGGGAUUUUCCAAAAUCCUCCUGGCUUCUUUUCCCUUCCCUUCCUUCUUCCCAGAGCAGGGGCCAGCUUUACCUCAGUUGGUAGGUCACACACAUUGGGUGGAGAUGGUCAAAGGUCCUCUGCUUGGACAAGUUGCUCCCUGUCUUCAUUCCUCUGGCCAAGGCCAGUGUUAGGUGGGGACUGGUGAGCUGUCUGGCCCCACAGGGCUAAGCUUUCCUUUAGGUGGGUUUAUCCCACUUCUCAACAGUCUAACAAAGAACAGAUUCCACAAGCCCACUUCGUCUCUUGCUGCAAGCUAUGCCUUCCGAUUCUGCCUUCAUUAGAAAUAAGGGUGAUAUUUUGGUUCUCCACCUGCUAUUUCUCGAUUUGGGUGGGGAAGAUGGGUGCUACUUACUGAACUCUCCCAAAGACCUUCAAGAACACUGAGCAGAAUACCAUCUAGCCAUAAAAACUGAUGUAGAAAAAUACUUAUGAUUGGAGGAAAAUCAUGGGAUUUUAAAGCAAAAUAGCAGGUUACAAAACAGCAUGUAAUAAACAGCUGAAAAAAAACAGGGGCAUAGCAAUGUAUUGUGGUUAUUUUCAUCUUGCUUUAACCUGUUUGAUUUCAAGCUUUAUUUUAUUUGCACGCAAAGCAUCCUAACUGCUGUUGGCAGUCCUUGUGUGCUAUGAGACAUCCUCACAGUAUCCUUCUAAGAAAUUCACUGUUUUACUCAAGCUAGUUGAAAUUUGCAUUCUAUCACUGCAGUUAAGAGAGUAAACAAAUAAAAUGUUCAUGUUUCUAAAAACCCUGAAGAAGACAGAUUGACAGAGCUACCUUGUAUAGCCAGAGAAAAGCAAUUUACCUUCCAAUUUUCUCAAUAUGACAGUAUUUCAUCUAUCUCUGAAGAUAUAAAGACUAAAUUAAAAGUGGUAAUGUGGACAUUAAUAAGAAAAGAAAGGGAAAUAAGAAUUAUGAGGAUUCAUAUGUGCUAAGUACAUUCAGAAAUUUACAAUUUCCUAACAAAAUGGAAAUGUUCUAUCAGUUGGAAAAGCAUGCAGAAACAAUUGUACUUCCAUUCAGACAUUACCUUUUGAAGCCUGUCACCCCAGUGAGUGAGGGAAGGAAGUAAACAUAUCUACCAGAGGCAGGAAAAAAACUUACUUCAAAAGAUCACUUAGCAAGAACUUCUUAAUUAUCAACGAAGCUUUGGUGAAGAUGCAGCCAGCUGGAUAUCAUACAACAGACACUAUAUUAGUCACUAGUUAAAUAAAGAUGAAAGGAUACAAGUCCUGACUUCAAUUUGCCCACAGUUUAGUGGGGAGAUAAACAUGGAUAAAGUAUAAUUAUAGGUUUCAUUUCGUAUGCUGGGUACAAUGGUGUGUGCCUGUAGUAGUUACAGCUACUCAGGAAGCUGAGGUGGAUUUUUGAGCCCAGGAGUUUGAGGCUGCAGUGAGCUAUGGUCACACCUAUGAAUAGCCACUGCAUUCCAGCCUGGGAAACAUAGCAACACUCUAUCUCUUAAAAAAAUUUAAAAGAAAUUGGAUCACGCAAUUAUGGAGGCUGGCAAGUCCAAAAUCUGCAGGGUUGGUUGGCAGGCUGAAAACCCAGGGAAAGACAAUGCUGUGGUACAGGUCUGAAGGCAGGCAUGUGGACACCCAGGAGAAGCUGAUGGUGCAGAUAAAGGCAAGAGGCAGUAUUCUCAAGAAUCCCCUCUUGCUUGGGAAGGUUGGUCUUGUUCUAUUCAAGCCUUCACAUGAUUGGACAGGGCCCACCUAUAUUUGGAGGGCAUUGUUUUACUCAAAGUCCACUAAUUCUAAUGUUAUUUUCAUCUAUAAACACCCUCACAGAAACACCAAGAAUAAAUAAUGUUUGUCCACAUAUCUGGGCACUGUGGCCCAGUGAAGUUGCUACAUACAAUUAAGCAUCACAGUGUCUGUCCUAAGAAUGUGUGGUGCACAGCCCUGAACAUGGGACUGUGAUGCUCCGUGAUGGUGCAGGGUGUGUAAUACAUCACUGCGUUACAGACCUAUAGACUGUACCGCAGAAAGAGUGAAUGUGAACCAGUGUAACCUGUGGACCCUGGGUCAGUGUAGGUUCAUGGGUUGUAACGUGUACCGCUCUGGUGGAUGUAUGCACAUGUUACACAAGAGUGUGUAAUACAUACUCUUUCUACAGACCUCUGGGGUUGGUGCCCUGCAGCAUCACACAUGGCCUGGUCUGGCCUCCUGUGCUCCUUGGGGGGCAGCUGACCAUGAGGUCAGAUGAGCAUGAUGUGCCAUCCCAUUGCUCUUCCCAUCACCCUGGCCAGGCUUUGUGAAUAAUCUGUGUUCCUUGCUUCUAUUUCCUCAUCAUUUGUUCCUUACUUUUUCUCUUGGCUUCUCGCUCCAUUCACCAUUCCCUCAGUUCUAAAAUUCCCUGGGAGCCCAGUGUCCUCCCUGAUGCCUUGCAGUGCUGAGCGCUGUCACCAUUCUACCACUCAGAACCCUUUCCUCUCUCUGCCAUGAUCCAUGCUCUCUUGUGGUGUCUUCAGCUCAACAGUUUGUAACAGCUGCAUCAGGUGCUGUAUUAGUCUGUUACAAACAAAUGUUACAAAAAAAUGCCCAGGACUGGGUAAUUUAUAUUUAUUUAUUUAUUUAUUUUUGAGACGGAGUCUCACUCUGUCGCCCUUGCUGGAGUGCAGUGGUGUGAUCUCAGCUCACUGCAAGCUCCGCCUCCCAGGUUCACACCAUUCUCCUGCCUCAGCCUCCCAAGUAGCUGGGACUACAGAAGCCCCCCACCACAUCCGGCUAAUCUUUUUUUGUAUUUUUAGUAGAGACGGGGUUUCACUGUGGUCUCCAUCUCCUGACCUCGUGAUCCGCCUGCCUCCCAAAGUGCUGGGAUUACAGGCAUGAGCCACCGCACACAGCUGGGACUGGGUAAUUUAUAAAGAAAAGAGGUUUAAUGACUCACAGUUCCACAUGGCUGGAGAGGCCUCAGGAAACUUACAAUCAUGGUGGAAGGCGAAGGGGAAGCAAGGCACGUCUUACAUGGUGGCAGGAGAGAACGAGUGAGGGGGGAGACUGCCACAAACUUUUUUUUUUUGAGACAAGAGUCUGGCCCUGUUGCCCAGGCUGGAGUGCAGUGGCAUGAUCUCAGCUCACUGCAACCUCUGCCUCACAGGUUCAAGCAAUUCUCAUGCCUCAGCCUCCCGCAUAGCUGGGACCACAGGUAUGCACCACCACACCUAGCUAAUUUUUGUAGUUUUAGUAGAGAUGGGGUCUCACUAUGUUGCUCAGGCUGGUCUAAAACUCCUGGGCUCCAGCAAUCCGCCUGCCUUGGCCUCCCAAAGUGCUGGGGUUACAGGCAUAAGCCACCACAUCCAGCCUGCCACAUACUUUUAAACUAUCAGGUCUCAUGAGAACUCAUGCACUAUCACAAGAAUAGCAUGGGGAAAAUCCCCCCCAUAAUCCAAUCACCUCCCACCAGGUCUCCUCCGACACGUGGGAUUGGGUGGGGACACAGAGCCAAACCGUAUCAGAUGCUGCAGGGGCUGGGGACACUGAGACCACUCAGACCUGGUGUCUCUGUCACUCUUCUGGGCUCUGUCUGUCUCCAGGACCUCCCUCCCCUUCCAUGGUAUAGAAGGAAAGUGCUGUAAUGUGCAAAUUGCACAGGAACUCCUUAAGACAUACAUUAUCCACUCAGCAGUUUUAGGUUCGCAGCAAAAUGGAGUGGAAGGAACAGAAAUUUCCUGUGCACCCCUCCCCGCUGUCUCCGCCAUAUCGGCAUCCUGCAUCCAGAGUGGUAGACUGGUUACAGGCUAUGAACCUACACUGAUGCGGCACCACCACCCAGAGUCCACAGGUUAUGUUGGUUCACAUUUACUCUUGCUGUGGUAUGGUCUAUAGGUUUGGACAGAUGUCCGAUAAUCCUUUUUACAUUUUGGCAUCCUUGGGUAGCUCGUCUUGCAGGAAUGGACUUGCUUCAAAGUGGAGGCAGGCAGAUCCUUCAGAUGGGUAUAUGGAGCCCUGUUUUCAGUUGCUUUUCUAAUUCUCUCUUAUCGUUUACCUCAAAAUCUUCCUGAGGUCUCGCUUCCUUUUAAAAUCCUUGUCUACUUUGCAGCAUCACUCUGACACUCCAUUGAUUCCUCAGCACCUACUGACUACACGGUUAGGAGUGCAAGGGUAGAAUUCAUGUUUUAUUCAUCUUUGGGUCUGUAGCACCCAGCAAAGUGCUCAGUAAAUGCGCAGUAAUUGAUUUGACCUCUGAACAAAUACACACUGUACUAAGAAUCUACACACCGAAAGACAAAAACAAGACAAAUUUGAGUGCUACAGGUGUCACGCUUGGCCUCACACAUGUGCCUGUGUAUUCCUCUAGGUGGUUACCAGGAGCUCUGCCACUGCAUGUCCACUAGUGACGGGUUCGCUCCACCACCCCAGCUGGGUAGCCGCUGCUCUCACAUAAGGGGUCCAAUUAAAAUUGCCAGGAAUAAAUUCCCCCGGACUUUGACUUCUCAAGAGCUAAGAAGGUUUGCUGAGUAUUCUGGCAUGAUGUUUGGUGAUCAAACAACUGCUGGCCAAAAAUGAUGAGUAUUUCCCCCUCUUGCUGAAGAUGUGCUCCAUACAAUAGUCCAUCACAUUCAUCAUUCAUCAGUCUGGAAGUGUGCAGCCAAUCAUAUUAUCUAUCACAUGUUGUUCUGGCUUUUUUUUUUUUUCCAAUGUCCAGCCUAAACUAUAAAGAACUUUGAGAACGCACAGUGAACCAUAAGCUUGCCAAUAAAGAGUCCUCUGUGGUAUGGAACUGGCUUAUUUCAUACACAAUCUGCAAACAAUGAGGGCACUAUUGGAAACAUACUGUGCUGCACAGAGCAUUUACACCACUUAUCUUUAAUCUUCCCCAGCAAUCCUUGCUUUGUGCGCAUUUAUGAUCCUUGCUCUCAGAAGUCCACAUACUUUUCCCCAACCGUAACAAAUUAUUUAACUCAUCUAAUGUAUGUAUGUCCGCGCAGUCUGAAAACAGUAAUUGUCCUUGGGAAGAAGUGAGUUUAAGAGAGCUCUAGGGCACUCAUCACAACUCCAGCCCUGCCCUCCAUGUGGUAGCAGCUCUUUGGACUGGGGCUAAGUGCUUAUUCUUGUGCUUCAUUCCUGGUAAGCUCAAUUUCUUUACCUUAGGAUAACUUUGCUGGAAAAGGGCUCAGAUUCAGCCGACCAUUGUGGCCUCUGUGGCUGUCACAGCUUGUCCCUGACAUGCUAUGAUGUUGGGUCCCCUUCUCAUCCCCUUGGGAUUUCUUCUGCUGGCCCACAGCCAGAACAACUAGGCCUUUUACUCCACCAUCCCUUUGUUUUCUUUUGUUUCGUUGGUAAAAAUCAAUCCUUCUACCAUCCAUGCAUAGCAAUUUCUAAAAACUGAAUUUCAAGAGCAGUAUCUGAAGAAACAAACAUGAUUUGGUCCUUUUAGUAAACAGAAUAAAUUUUAAUAAAUCAACUUUGAAAUAGUUGUAAGAGUUAAGAAAAAGCACAAAACUGAGAUCAUCAGAGCAGCUUGGCCUCAAAGGACAGGCAGCAGGAUUCUACAGGGUUUGAGCCUUCCUAAGUGAAGCUGUUUCCUGCAGGCUCCCUGCUCCAAGCUCCUAGCUAACAGCCCCUUCUCCCACGAUUGGCAACAAAGAGCAAAAAUAACUUUGUACUUGAUGCUGAGUCAGUGUAAAAAGCCAUAAAAAAUUCCCUCUAAAUGUCAAAAUGUUUGCCUCCUUUGAGGCUUCUCUCCUCCUACUGGGUCUGGAUAAAUUAGCACUGGGCUUAUAUUGAGUCACAGAUCUGGGCCCUGCCACAGAGAGCUUCCUCCUAGUGUGUGAUGCUUUUUCUCCAAACUAUUGAUACAAAAUGCACUGGAAUAGAAAUCAACAGAAACUGGUCAAAGGUGUGGCAUACACAUUCUCAUGUAGAUGUAAAGCUGUGCUUAGAAUUCCUUUGUGGAGUCUGGUUUGGUCUUGGUUUUCUUGGUGUUUGAUUCAUUUUUUUACGUAAAUUACAAAAACCCUCCACAUUUCUUCAUGGAUUGUAUUAGUCCAUGUUCUCCAGAGAAGCAGAACGAGUUGGAUGUAUGUUUUGGAAGAGAUUAUGAGGAACCGGCUCAUGUGAUGAAGGAGGUUGAGAGGUCCUGUGCUCUGCCAUCUGCAAGCUGAAGACCUGGAAAGCUGAGGGUGUGGCUCCAGUCUGAGUCUGAAGGCCCAAGAACCAGGGGAACCAACGGUGUAGAUUCCAGGUUGAAGGCAGGAGAAGAUGGAUGUCCCAGCUCAGCAGGCAGGCAGGAAGCAAAUGGGGUAAAUUCCUCCUUCCUCCACCUUUUGUUCCAUUCAGGCCUUCAACAGAUUGGAUGAGCGCACCCCCACCCCCACACUAGGGAGGGCCAUCUGCUUUACUGAGUCGGCUGAGUCAAGUGCCAGCCUCAUCCCAAAACACUCUCCAGACACACGCAGAAAUGUUUCAUCUGGGCACCCUGUGGCCAGUCAUGCUGACACACAGAACUAACCAUGACAUGGAUUCUUCUUAAAGCAGUGAUAGGAGCGAACAGAAACAUUUUCAUAAUUUUCAAUUAUUUUUAAUGAAAACUAUAUCUGAUGGAAUUGUUUAAACCUAGUCUGGCCACACAUUAUUUCCUGGGACCGCCCCUCCUUCAAUCCCUUGGACACUGAUGACUUUAUGCCCAGAUUACACUGGAGGCCUGUGCUGAUUUUCUAACACAUACCUGCAACUGAGCUGGCAAAAAGAAAACUAGGCAAGUAUGACAGAUACAUGAUGCACAGGCUAAGUGCAAAGGAAAGAAAAACACCAACUGCAGGGAUGAGGGACUCACCCCUUUAGAAGUUUCUACUUGAGCAGCUAGAAGACUACAAUGCCACUCAUCAAAACAGUGACUCAGGGGGAGUAUUUGGGAUAAAGGAGGAAUCUGAUGUUGGAGGUCAAAUUUGAAGUGUCUUUAAGACCUACAGGUAACGAGACAGCUGGACAAACACAUGGAACUCAGGACAAAGGCUCUAAGGACAGCACAGCAGCUGACAUCCUGUGUGACAGCCUUGAAAGCAGCAGGCCCGCCGCUCACAUUUUGGAAGGGAAAAUGGGUACAAUGUUGUCUGCCACUUUGGGGCCUUCUUGGGUCACAUGCAUUUUACAUUUAUGCAGUUGAUAUAUUUAUGUUUCCUGGGUCUUUUAUACAUUAGACACCAUGAUUCUCAAUCCUUUGUUAUUUUGUAUUACAAAAAGCUGAAUUAUUAUUUCAAAUAUGGGCAAAUUAGAGCCUUCCAUAUUGCCAAGGUGUAUCAACCACACUGAUAUCACGAUCUCUCUUUUGAAUUAGUUUUCCAGUUCACACCUACCAUUUAUUUCAUGAUUGGUUUCAGACUUGUUCCUCCUGGAAACACUCCCUAACAAGCACCCUUGCAGGAAUGAAGACACACCACACACAUCUACCCCAUUACUGCAUGUACUCAAGAGUCAGCUUUUAUAUGAUCUCUCCCAAGUGCUCCUAUAAUGGGGAUCUUUCACUCACCCUAAAGUGAGGACAAAAUACUUGAAAGCAUGAGCCCAGUGCCUGUAGGUGUGCAAUUAACCUCAGACCAAGGAAGUGCCGAACGCAUCUGGCUUUUAGCAAGGCACCUGACAAAGUCCUUCAGGAUGUUUUUGUACAUGAGCUAGAGAAAUGUACCUGGAGAACAGCUUCUACUGCCAGAUGAUCUUACUCAAAAGAUGCAGAUUAAGCAAAAUAUCAACCCAAAGGGUGGUCCCUGAUGGCCCACCAGCCCUGUGCCUGGCUCGUUUCCUAUGUUUCCUAGAUUUGGUUUCAGACUUGCUCCUCCUGCAGACACUCCCUAACCAGCAUCCUUGCAGAAAACUGGUGAACUAGAAAAGGCCUGUGUGGGUCACGUGGCCACCCAACACCACAGCAGUGUCUAAGGUAUGCGUGGGAGCCUGCACAGCAGGAGCGGGGUCUUCUGGAGACCCGCAUGAGAUGCAAAGGGCAGUGGACAAGGAGCCAAGGGAGGUGGCUCUAGUCACGCUGGUAUGGUGCCAGCUUGAGGAUGCUGGGCAAGUCCCGAGCCGUCUGCCUUCCUAGUACCACAGUUACCACUGUCUGUUACCUCGCGAGUUCAAGUGCUUCACGUGAGACAGCUACGAGACAGGCCCCUGGAAACUGGAAAAUGCUAAAAUUUGGAAAUUAUCUGUCUGGAAGCUCUGAGUUUAUCUUGGGACCUCAAGAGGAGAGGAUCACCCAACUCACAGCAAUCAAACUCCAAAUGGUGCUAUAAACUGAACCACACAUGGACACGUCAGUCUUCCGAGGACCCUUAGAUCAACCCCAGGAGGAGCCCUAGCUGCUGUUCCCCAUUCGACGCCCCUUUCCAGCAGGAAGUAGCCAGAAGACAUCGUCGCCCAAACCUCUAACAGCAGUUAGUGCGGCAUCUCCACAGGGGGGAAUGUUGUAGGAGUUAUUGAUAAAUUAUUUUAGGCAGAUAGAGAGGAAAAGGGGUCCUUAGGAAGUUUUUGUUUUUUAAAGCACGUCUGGAAAAGUUUCUUGUAAAGCUCCAGCUCUUAAAGCCAGGCCAGUUACCCGAUAUCCAAAUGCCAGCCAUUAGAAAGUGGGUCCACCCAAACAUGGCGAUUCCUGUGGACUUCUUGCCCUUUCCCCACAUUCCUGGAUACAUGGACACCCCGAAGUAUCCCCACCUGUGUAGAAGAUCAUGGUGCCCUGCAUUUGCAUAUUAAAAGGCUAGGGUGGGAGAGCCAGCUUUUCCUGCGGGCUACGUGAAUGACAUGCCUAGUCAAACCAAUCCCCUGAGCCUGUGCAAAUCAGACACUGCCUCCUCCAGCCUCUGUAUAUAUACCUAGCUGGUAUCUGUGGCAGGUGGGGUUCCCUCUCUUGGCUUUGGAGCCCCCCUUCCUCUGUCUCUGUACAGGGGAGCUUCUUCCUUUUCCCUUCCCUCUUGCUUCUUCUUGCCUAUUAAACUCUCUCUGCUCCUUAAAAAUAAAAAA